RNAcentral lists this ribosomal RNA (448 nucleotides) under uncultured bacterium. RNAcentral describes it as "bacterial SSU rRNA". It matches the Rfam family "Bacterial small subunit ribosomal RNA", at positions 355 to 796 of the family's 1533-position model. The record is from RNAcentral.
UCGAGAAUUUUUCACAAUGGGCGAAAGCCUGAUGGAGCGACGCCGCGUGGGGGAUGAAUGGCUUCGGCCCGUAAACCCCUGUCAUUCGCGAACAAUGCCUGCGGCAUAACACGUUGCAGGUUGAUAGUAGCGGAAGAGGAAGGGACGGCUAACUCUGUGCCAGCAGCCGCGGUAAUACAGAGGUCCCAAGCGUUGUUCGGAUUCACUGGGCGUAAAGGGUGCGUAGGUGGUCGGGUAAGUCUGAUGUGAAAUCUCGGAGCUUAACUCCGAAACUGCAUUGGAUACUAUCCGGCUGGAGGGUUGGAGGGGGGACUGGAAUUCUCGGUGUAGCAGUGAAAUGCGUAGAUAUCGAGAGGAACACCAGUGGCGAAGGCGAGUCCCUGGACAACUCCUGACACUAAGGCACGAAAGCUAGGGGAGCAAACAGGAUUAGAUACCCCUGUAGUCC